RNAcentral lists this long non-coding RNA (277 nucleotides) under Manihot esculenta (cassava). RNAcentral describes it as "long non-coding RNA (MESC_LNC006534)". Lineage: Eukaryota; Viridiplantae; Streptophyta; Magnoliopsida; Malpighiales; Euphorbiaceae. The record is from RNAcentral.
UUCCAUAAUCAAACUGUUUACAAAAAGAUCAUAGUUCUUGUUUAGUUUUAUACAUUUCAUAUUUUAAAGUUCUUUGUAAUUUUAGAUCGUGGCAAAUUUGUAAAUCUUCCUUUUGAAUUAUACUUAUCAAUUGUCCAUAUGUCAUUUUACUAUAAGGUAUUGGGUUUCCAAAUUAUUGUUUUAUAUUAUUUCGUACUUUCUCUCCUAGGAAAUAAGGAAGUCCUGCUAAAAAUUUCUCUUUCCAAAAAUCUUGAUUUGAAUCUUCUCUUAGCAUUAA